GAUGAAGAACGCAGCGAAAUGCGAUAAGUAAUGUGAAUUGCAGAAUUCAGUGAAUCAUCGAAUCUUUAAACGCACAUUGCGCCCGUCAGUAUUCUGGCGGGCAUGCCUGUUCGAGCGUCAUUACGCCCCUCAAGUCCCCUGUGGACUUGGUGUUGGGGAUCGGCGAGGCUGGUUUUCCAGCACAGCCGUCCCUUAAAUUAAUUGGCGGUCUCGCCGUGGCCCUCCUCUGCGCAGUAGUAAAACACUCGCAACAGGAGCCCGGCGCGGUCCACUGCCGUAAAACCCCCCAACUUUUUAUAGUUGACCUCGAAUCAGGUAGGACUACCCGCUGAACUUAAGCAUAUCAAUAAGCGGAGGA
This 358-nucleotide unclassified non-coding RNA is filed under the name soil metagenome. RNAcentral describes it as "partial contains 5.8S ribosomal RNA, internal transcribed spacer 2, and large subunit ribosomal RNA". The stretch from base 1 to 120 matches the Rfam family "5.8S ribosomal RNA", at positions 35 to 154 of the family's 154-position model. The record is from RNAcentral.